This 741-nucleotide unclassified non-coding RNA is filed under the name Bombus terrestris (buff-tailed bumblebee). RNAcentral's name for it is "misc RNA ENSBTSG00005023463.1". Lineage: Eukaryota; Metazoa; Arthropoda; Insecta; Hymenoptera; Apidae. The record is from RNAcentral.
CCACAUAUAUAGCAACCUUCGAGACUAGAAAGCUUCGAAGGAAAUGAAUUUCGAUAUAUAUCUGUCUCGUUAAAUGGAAGAAAGCCAGUAGAAAUGGUAGAAGAAAAAUGUAAAAGAUUAAUUUUUCUCAUGACGCAUCACGUAAGCCUGAUGUUGACAAAAAUAGAGAAAUUGAUUAGUCGGAUGAUAGAAGAAAUCACAUAAAGUUAGAUGAUCAAAAGAAAUAACAAUGGAUGUAUGAUUUUUAAUUCAAUGUUGAUUCCGGGGCUGGUAAGGUGUAAAUUGUAUAAAUUCCAUAAGGCGUUCAUAAAAAGAAGAAAAAGAGAAAUUGUAAUUCAGAUUAUGGAACUCCGAUCGUCAUACUCAUAGUAUUCCACAAUUUGUCCAUUUACGACGUAUGUUUCGUCAUUAAGAAGCUCGCCAACACGUUCGAGGAAAGCGAUUUCGAACUUGUCAUCAAGAAAGCUGUCUUUCCAUACGAUUACCUAACAUCUUACGAUAAACUGCGAUUCACGUCUGCCCACGCACGAAUCGUUUUACAACCGAUUAUGCGACAGUCACGUAUCCAAGACAGAUUAUCUCCAACGCGGUCAACGUUUCGUCACGUUUUCACAUCGUGGAAUUGUAUUUGGGGCAUAUAGCGACCUGUAUCUAAUAUUAGGCGUAUUAUAUUAUAAUAUAAUACAUAUUACAUAUAUAUGUUAUAUAUGAUGUAUAUUAUAUUAUAAUAUGUAUUAUAUC